GAUGAACGCUGGCGGCGUGCCUAAUACAUGCAAGUCGAGCGAACAGACGAGGAGCUUUCUCCUCUGACGUUAGCGGCGGACGGGUGAGUAACACGUGGAUAACAUACCUAUAAGACUGGGAUAACUUCGGGAAACAGGAGCUACUAACGGAUAAUAUAUCGAACCGCAUGGUUCAAUAGUGAAAGACGGUUUUCCUGUCACUUAUAGAUGAAUCCGCGCCGCAUUAGGUACUUGGUAAGGUAACGGCUUACCAAGGCAACGAUGCGUAGCCGACCUGAGAGGGUGAUCGGCCACACUGGAACCGGGGCCAGGUCCAGACUCCCACGGGAAGCAACAGUAGGGAAACUUCCGAAAUGGGCGAAAGCCUUACGGAACAACGCCGCGGUAGUGAUGAAGGUCUUCGGAUCGUAAAACUCUGUUAUUAGGGAAGAACAAAUGUGUAAUUAACUAUGCACGUCUUGACGGUACCUAAUCAGAGAGCCACGGCUAACUACGUG
This 497-nucleotide ribosomal RNA is filed under the name uncultured bacterium. Its description in RNAcentral is "partial 16S ribosomal RNA". It matches the Rfam family "Bacterial small subunit ribosomal RNA", at positions 28 to 507 of the family's 1533-position model. The record is from RNAcentral.